This 71-nucleotide transfer RNA is filed under the name Loxodonta africana (African savanna elephant). It matches the Rfam family "tRNA". From Rfam's summary of the family: Transfer RNA (tRNA) molecules are approximately 80 nucleotides in length. Their secondary structure includes four short double-helical elements and three loops (D, anti-codon, and T loops). Further hydrogen bonds mediate the characteristic L-shaped molecular structure. tRNAs have two regions of fundamental functional importance: the anti-codon, which is responsible for specific mRNA codon recognition, and the 3' end, to which the tRNAs corresponding amino acid is attached (by aminoacyl-tRNA synthetases). tRNAs cope with the degeneracy of the genetic code in two manners: having more than one tRNA (with a specific anti-codon) for a particular amino acid; and 'wobble' base-pairing, i.e. permitting non-standard base-pairing at the 3rd anti-codon position. Lineage: Eukaryota; Metazoa; Chordata; Mammalia; Proboscidea; Elephantidae. The record is from Rfam by way of RNAcentral.
ACAGUGGUAGUUCAGUGGUAGAAUUCUUGCUUUCCAUGUGGAAUACCCAGGUUCGAUUUCUGGCCAAUACA